Molecule: ribosomal RNA, 468 nt
Filed under: uncultured bacterium
Lineage: Bacteria
Description: partial 16S ribosomal RNA
Rfam family: Bacterial small subunit ribosomal RNA
Source: RNAcentral
GACAAACGCUGGCGGCGUGCUUAACACAUGCAAGUCGAACGGAAAGGCCCUUCUUUUGUGGUGUGCUCGAGUGGCGAACGGGUGAGUAAUACGUGAGUAACCUUCCUUUGACUUUGGGAUAACUUCAGGAAACUGGGUCUAAUACCGGAUAGGAGCUCCUGCUGCAUGGUGGGGGUUGGAAAGUUUCGGCGGUUGGGGAUGGACUCGCGGCUUAUCAGCUUGUUGGUGGGGUAGUGGCUUACCAAGGCUUUGACGGGUAGCCGGCCUGAGAGGGUGACCGGCGACAAUGGGACUGAGAGAGGGCGCAGACUCCUACGGGAGGCAGCGGUGGGGAAUAUUGCACAGUGGGCGGGAGCGUGAGGCAGCGACGCCGCGUGCGGGAAGAAGGCCUUCGGGGUGUAAACCGCUUGGGCCUGUGACGAAGCGUGAGUGACGGUAAUGGGUAAAGAAGCACCGGCUAACUACGUG